Molecule: ribosomal RNA, 433 nt
Filed under: uncultured bacterium
Lineage: Bacteria
Description: partial 16S ribosomal RNA
Rfam family: Bacterial small subunit ribosomal RNA
Source: RNAcentral
AACGAACGCUGGCGGCAUGCCUAACACAUGCAAGUCGAACGACAGCUUCGGGUCUAGUGGCGCACGGGUGCGUAACGCGUGGGAACCUGCCCUUAGAUUCGGAAUAACUCCCCGAAAGGGGUGCUAAUACAGGAUAAUUUCUUCGGACAAAAGAUUUAUCGCCUUUGGAUGGGCCCGCGUUGGAUUAGCUAGUUGGUAGGGUAAAAGCCUACCAAGGCGACGAUCCAUAGCUGGUCUGAGAGGAUGAGCAGCCACACUGGGACUGAGACACGGCGCAGACUCCUACGGGAGGCAGCAAAGGGGAAUAAUGGAAAACCGCCUAAAGGCUGAAACCGUAAGGCUGCGAAAGUGAUUAAGUCGGGAGGGAAGUAAAGCUGUUUUACACGGGAGGAUAAUGACAGUACCGGGAGAAUAAGCACCGGCUAACUUCGUG